Molecule: non-coding RNA, 399 nt
Organism: Lolium perenne
Lineage: Eukaryota; Viridiplantae; Streptophyta; Magnoliopsida; Poales; Poaceae
Source: RefSeq, a predicted model, not a curated record
UCCCUCAAGCUCCCCCUCUCCAUGAGAGCAUCCCUCUCCUUCUUCUCCCCAAUCCUAGAUGGUUUUCUCUCCUCUUCUUCUUCCUCCCUUGCUAAGAUUGGAUCUUGAUGCAGGUGCAUGUUGGUCCAAGCAUGGAGAAGGUUGAGCUAUCCUCAGAUCUGAAGUUCUUGAGCAAAAUCCAAAUCGAGUGGUUCAAAGUUCUGCAGAUAGGGGAUAAUUGGUUUAUACCAUGGUGAUAACCGAGAGAGGCAAUUGCUAAGUUGUGACGCACUCAUACCUCUACUAGAUGCGAACACUUCCGGAGAAGAAGAAGAAGUGGAAUCGGACGGGGAUUUUAUUUUUAUUGUUGGAAUACAUAUUUGAUGGAGUUGAAGAAGUCCAGGGACAAAUAAGCCAACC